GACGAACGCUGGCGGCGUGCUUAACACAUGCAAGUCGAACGGAAAGGCCUGCUUUCCCUUGUGGAUUGCGGGUACUCGAGUGGCGAACGGGUGAGUAACACGUGAGUGAUCUGCCCCCAACUUGGGUAUAAGCCUGGGAAACUGGGUCUAAUUCCCGAUAGGACUGCAGGGUGGUGCCUGUGGUGGAAAACGAUUUUCUAGUGGUUGGGGAUGAGCUCGCGGCCUAUCAGCUUGUUGGUGGGGUAAUGGCCUACCAAGGCGGCGACGGGUAGCCGGCCUGGGGGGGUGGACGGCCACAUGGGGACUGGGAUACGGCCCGGACGCCUACGGGGGGCAGCAGUGGGGAGUAGGGCACAAGGGGCGGAAGCCUGAGGAAGCGACGCCGGGUGGGGGAUGACGGCCUUCGGGUUGUAAACUCCUUUCGACCGCGAGGAAGCCACCUGGUUGGAAGGGUGGUGACGGUAGUGGUAGAAGAAGCACCGGCUAACUACGUG
RNAcentral lists this ribosomal RNA (494 nucleotides) under uncultured bacterium. RNAcentral's name for it is "partial 16S ribosomal RNA". It matches the Rfam family "Bacterial small subunit ribosomal RNA", at positions 28 to 507 of the family's 1533-position model. The record is from RNAcentral.